UACGAUCAACGAUCAAAGUACUUGGGAAUUGAGAGAACAAUGAAGUCCUAAAUAUUCUUUUUCAUCCUCAUAGAACCUAGAUCUAACUUGUUUGAAUCAUUAUAUGUUUUAAGGGGGAAAGUCAAGUGUCAGGUCCUCAGGCUAGGUACGGCCGACAACCCAAUUGCUUGAAUGUUGUGUACAAACACGUACACCCCAUUUACAUUCCAAUUUGUUAUGAAAAUG
Molecule: long non-coding RNA, 225 nt
Filed under: Lathyrus oleraceus (garden pea)
Lineage: Eukaryota; Viridiplantae; Streptophyta; Magnoliopsida; Fabales; Fabaceae
Description: Pisum sativum (pea) long non-coding RNA (PSAT_LNC037401)
Source: RNAcentral